Molecule: ribosomal RNA, 1551 nt
Filed under: uncultured Parabasalia sp.
Lineage: Eukaryota; Parabasalia
Description: SSU rRNA
Rfam family: Eukaryotic small subunit ribosomal RNA
Source: RNAcentral
UGAGGAUCCAGGUUGAUCCUGCCGAGGAACGCUAUUUCGGUUAAAGAUUAAGCCAUGCAAGUGCUAGUUCAGGCAACGAAACUGCGAACAGCUCAUUAACACGCUCAGAACCUAUUUGGUUUCAGCCCGGUAGGGCUCUACAUGGAUAGCGGCAGUAAUUCUGGCGCUAAUACAUGCGACACAACCAUCUUAAGUGAGUUAAGAUGAGGACAUGACCUUAUAGGCGUACCAUUCGGUUGAGCGCCCUAUCAGCUUCUAUGUAGUAUCUUUUACUAUGUAGGCUAUCACGGGUAACGGGCGGUUACCGUCGGACUGCCGGAGAAGGUGCCUGAGAGACAGCAGCUAUUUCUAUGGAAAGCAGCAGGCGCGAAACUUACCCACUCGCCAAUGGCGGAGGUGGUUAUGACCAGUUCCAUCGUAUCGCAAGAUCGGCGGAUAGGUUCAUACUUUUCCAGUAUGGAGCAAUCUAGCAGAGGGCCAGUUCUGGUGCCAGCAGCUGCGGUAAUUCCAGCUCUGCUAAUCGCGUUCCAUUGUUUAAUUUAAAACGCUCGUAGUCGGAAUUAAAAGCUCGAGUAGAGCGUUCACCGUGAUCAAAUCAGAAUGCUUAGAGUAGUUCAUAACUGAAUGACUCAGCACGGUAUGAGACUUUUACCCCUAACGGGGUCAGAUCAAAGAGAGCCAUCGGGGGUAAAUCUAUUUCAUGGCGAGCGGCGGAAUGUGUUGACCCAUGAGAGAGAAACGGAUGCGAAAGCGUUUACCUAGAGGGUUUCUGUCGAUCAAGAGCGAGAGUGAAAGGAUUCAAGAGGAUUAGAGACCCUCGUAAUUUUCACCUUAAACUAUGGCGACGGAGCGUUGUGCUAUUGCAGCGUUCUAAGCGAAAGCUCAAGAAGGCCUAUUGGGGAACUACGACCGCAAGGCUGAAACUUGAAGGAAUUGACGGAAGGGCACACAAUGGGGUGGAUACUGUGGCUCAAUCUGACUCAACGCGGAGAAACUUACCAAGUCAAAAGGUUUUUAAUGACUGACCGGCUAAAGACCGUUCAGGAUAUGACCACUGGUGGUGCAUGGCCGUUGGUGAUUCGUGAAGCGAUUUGUCAUACGUCGAUUCAGGUAACGGGUGAGACUACCACCAAUUAUCUAGGCGUGCGCUUGUUAAGCGUUGCGUCUUCUAAUCGGGACUCCCUGCGUUUAAGUAGGCGGAAGAGGGUAGCAAUAACAGGUCCGUGAUGUCCUUUAGAUGCUUUGGGCUGCACGCGUUCUACAAUGCUUGCACCAAUGGGAUGCUAACCUGAGAGGGUUUGCUACUCCAUUAAUCGCAUGCGUGAUUGGGAUUGAGCGUUGUAAUCACGCUCAUGAACUAGGAAUCCCUUGUAAGCGUACGUCAACAUCAUACGUUGAAUAUGUCCCUGCCCUUUGUACACACCGCCCGUCGCUCCUACCGAUUGGAUGGAUUGGCGAAGUUGCUGGACUCUUCGGCGGAAGGUAACUAAGCCUGUCGAUCUAGAGGAAGGAGAAGUCGUAACAAGGUAUCUGUAGGUGAACCUGCCGCUG